Molecule: ribosomal RNA, 496 nt
Filed under: uncultured bacterium
Lineage: Bacteria
Description: partial 16S ribosomal RNA
Rfam family: Bacterial small subunit ribosomal RNA
Source: RNAcentral
GAUGAACGCUGGCGGCGUGCCUAAUACAUGCAAGUCGAGCGAACAGACGAGGAGCUUGCUCCUCUUACGUUAGCGGCGGACGGGUGAGUCACACGUGGCUAACCUACCUAUAAGACUGGGAUAACUUCGGGAAACCGGAGCUAAUACCGGAUAAUAUAUUGAACCGCAUGGUUCAAUAGUGAAAGACGGUUUUGCUGUCACUUAUAGAUGGAUCCGCGCCGCAUUAGCUAGUUGAUAAGGUAACGGCUUACCAAGGCAACGAUGCGUAGCCGACCUGAGAGGUUACUCAGCCACUCAGCAACUCAGACCCGCCCCAAACUCGUAGAGGAGGCAGCAGCUGAGAACCGUCCGCAGGGGGCGAAAGCCUGCCGGAGCAAAGCCGCGGUAGAGAUGAAGGUCAGCGGAUGGUAAAACGCUGUGAUUAGGGAAGGACAAAUGUGUAGGUAACGAGGAGCGUAUCAACGGUACCAAAGCAUAAAGCAACGGCAAACACCGU